Zophobas morio is the source of this 591-nucleotide long non-coding RNA. RefSeq lists it as uncharacterized. The record is from RefSeq and is a predicted model, not a curated record. NCBI's taxonomy places the organism in Eukaryota, Metazoa, Arthropoda, Insecta, Coleoptera, Tenebrionidae. The transcript is spliced from 3 exons.
CAAAGAGAUUUAAAAGUGCUGAACCAAUUUUAGUGUCAUGCGCACGGAAAAUUUGCGGACAGUUACGCCCACAAGUGAACCAUCUGGUAUCCGUAAUCUGUGACCGGGCUGAAAUGUAGAUCAAAAAUAGACGGUUUUAAGAAGGCUCUCUUGGUCACUUCUUGUUUUGUUGUGAGUGUAAAUAUAGGUAACUGCUGCUGCAAGUUAAGAUUUAUUGCCUCUGAAGACAAGUGUCAGGUAUGAAAAGGAAUAACAGGAAUUCACAAUAUGGCGUAAAAAGACAGACGUUGAGGGGAUUAGCGACGAUAUUUUGCUCUGCUACGCGACGCAAUUGAGCAAAAAUUUUUCUCCAAACAACUUAUGGAUAAAAAUUUUCAUGUUAAAGACUUACUUGAAAUUACAUGAAAGUAUCGACAUUUCUGGAUAUGGAAAACUUUUUAUGUUCCUGAAACGCAAAUCUGAAUUUUAUAAACCAAAAAAGGCAACAAUCCUAAUAAAUGAGCAAGUCAUCAGAUUUCUUCUGGAAGCACCUGAUGACUACUUUUUGCUGGAGAAGGUUAUCUUAGUGCUGUAUUAAUUUGUAAUUUAUUG